AGCGUACACGGUGGAUGCCCUGGCAGUCAGAGGCGAUGAAGGACGUGCUAAUCUGCGAUAAGCGUCGGUAAGGUGAUAUGAACCGUUAUAACCGGCGAUUUCCGAAUGGGGAAACCCAGUGUGAUUCGUCACACUAUCAUUAACUGAAUCCAUAGGUUAAUGAGGCGAACCGGGGGAACUGAAACAUCUAAGUACCCCGAGGAAAAGAAAUCAACCGAGAUUCCCCCAGUAGCGGCGAGCGAACGGGGAGGAGCCCAGAGCCUGAAUCAGUGUGUGUGUUAGUGGAAGCGUCUGGAAAGGCGCGCGAUACAGGGUGACAGCCCCGUACACAAAAAUGCACAUACUGUGAGCUCGAUGAGUAGGGCGGGACACGUGGUAUCCUGUCUGAAUAUGGGGGGACCAUCCUCCAAGGCUAAAUACUCCUGACUGACCGAUAGUGAACCAGUACCGUGAGGGAAAGGCGAAAAGAACCCCGGCGAGGGGAGUGAAAAAGAACCUGAAACCGUGUACGUACAAGCAGUGGGAGCCUCUUUUAUGGGGUGACUGCGUACCUUUUGUAUAAUGGGUCAGCGACUUAUAUUCUGUAGCAAGGUUAACCGAAUAGGGGAGCCGAAGGGAAACCGAGUCUUAACCGGGCGUUAAGUUGCAGGGUAUAGACCCGAAACCCGGUGAUCUAGCCAUGGGCAGGUUGAAGGUUGGGUAACACUAACUGGAGGACCGAACCGACUAAUGUUGAAAAAUUAGCGGAUGACUUGUGGCUGGGGGUGAAAGGCCAAUCAAACCGGGAGAUAGCUGGUUCUCCCCGAAAGCUAUUUAGGUAGCGCCUCGUGAAUUCAUCUCCGGGGGUAGAGCACUGUUUCGGCAAGGGGGUCAUCCCGACUUACCAACCCGAUGCAAACUGCGAAUACCGGAGAAUGUUAUCACGGGAGACACACGGCGGGUGCUAACGUCCGUCGUGAAGAGGGAAACAACCCAGACCGCCAGCUAAGGUCCCAAAGUCAUGGUUAAGUGGGAAACGAUGUGGGAAGGCCCAGACAGCCAGGAUGUUGGCUUAGAAGCAGCCAUCAUUUAAAGAAAGCGUAAUAGCUCACUGGUCGAGUCGGCCUGCGCGGAAGAUGUAACGGGGCUAAACCAUGCACCGAAGCUGCGGCAGCGACACUGUGUGUUGUUGGGUAGGGGAGCGUUCUGUAAGCCUGUGAAGGUGUGCUGUGAGGCAUGCUGGAGGUAUCAGAAGUGCGAAUGCUGACAUAAGUAACGAUAAAGCGGGUGAAAAGCCCGCUCGCCGGAAGACCAAGGGUUCCUGUCCAACGUUAAUCGGGGCAGGGUGAGUCGACCCCUAAGGCGAGGCCGAAAGGCGUAGUCGAUGGGAAACAGGUUAAUAUUCCUGUACUUGGUGUUACUGCGAAGGGGGGACGGAGAAGGCUAUGUUGGCCGGGCGACGGUUGUCCCGGUUUAAGCGUGUAGGCUGGUUUUCCAGGCAAAUCCGGAAAAUCAAGGCUGAGGCGUGAUGACGAGGCACUACGGUGCUGAAGCAACAAAUGCCCUGCUUCCAGGAAAAGCCUCUAAGCAUCAGGUAACAUCAAAUCGUACCCCAAACCGACACAGGUGGUCAGGUAGAGAAUACCAAGGCGCUUGAGAGAACUCGGGUGAAGGAACUAGGCAAAAUGGUGCCGUAACUUCGGGAGAAGGCACGCUGAUAUGUAGGUGAAGUCCCUCGCGGAUGGAGCUGAAAUCAGUCGAAGAUACCAGCUGGCUGCAACUGUUUAUUAAAAACACAGCACUGUGCAAACACGAAAGUGGACGUAUACGGUGUGACGCCUGCCCGGUGCCGGAAGGUUAAUUGAUGGGGUCAGCGCAAGCGAAGCUCUUGAUCGAAGCCCCGGUAAACGGCGGCCGUAACUAUAACGGUCCUAAGGUAGCGAAAUUCCUUGUCGGGUAAGUUCCGACCUGCACGAAUGGCGUAAUGAUGGCCAGGCUGUCUCCACCCGAGACUCAGUGAAAUUGAACUCGCUGUGAAGAUGCAGUGUACCCGCGGCAAGACGGAAAGACCCCGUGAACCUUUACUAUAGCUUGACACUGAACAUUGAGCCUUGAUGUGUAGGAUAGGUGGGAGGCUUUGAAGUGUGGACGCCAGUCUGCAUGGAGCCGACCUUGAAAUACCACCCUUUAAUGUUUGAUGUUCUAACGUGGACCCGUGAUCCGGGUUGCGGACAGUGUCUGGUGGGUAGUUUGACUGGGGCGGUCUCCUCCUAAAGAGUAACGGAGGAGCACGAAGGUUGGCUAAUCCUGGUCGGACAUCAGGAGGUUAGUGCAAUGGCAUAAGCCAGCUUGACUGCGAGCGUGACGGCGCGAGCAGGUGCGAAAGCAGGUCAUAGUGAUCCGGUGGUUCUGAAUGGAAGGGCCAUCGCUCAACGGAUAAAAGGUACUCCGGGGAUAACAGGCUGAUACCGCCCAAGAGUUCAUAUCGACGGCGGUGUUUGGCACCUCGAUGUCGGCUCAUCACAUCCUGGGGCUGAAGUAGGUCCCAAGGGUAUGGCUGUUCGCCAUUUAAAGUGGUACGCGAGCUGGGUUUAGAACGUCGUGAGACAGUUCGGUCCCUAUCUGCCGUGGGCGCUGGAGAACUGAGGGGGGCUGCUCCUAGUACGAGAGGACCGGAGUGGACGCAUCACUGGUGUUCGGGUUGUCAUGCCAAUGGCACUGCCCGGUAGCUAAAUGCGGAAGAGAUAAGUGCUGAAAGCAUCUAAGCACGAAACUUGCCCCGAGAUGAGUUCU
RNAcentral lists this ribosomal RNA (2772 nucleotides) under Escherichia coli. Its description in RNAcentral is "bacterial LSU rRNA". It matches the Rfam family "Bacterial large subunit ribosomal RNA". Lineage: Bacteria; Pseudomonadati; Pseudomonadota; Gammaproteobacteria; Enterobacterales; Enterobacteriaceae. The record is from RNAcentral.